CUCAGGCAGACCCUGUUGCAGAAGGUAUAGAAACCUUAAAUACUAGGUCAAGUCUUAUCAACUCUUCCAUUCUCUAGUGCUUGCUUGUGCCUCUGACUGGUAAGGAAGGAAACAUUCACCAUCCUUCACUGUUGCUCAAAUUUUGGUCACUAAUUGAUGAGAGCUAGGACAUGAAAUCAAAUCUAGGUCUUGGUAUUCAUUUCAAACAUAUUAGGAGUAUCCAGAGUAAAAAGCCUUUCAGUCACUGUGGUGUAGCUCUUUGUACUUACCCUUUCCUCCCCACAUAAUUUCUGUCUUGCAAUUUUGUCUAAACUGUUCCCCAUCACAUACUUGUUAAAUGUUACAGGACAUGUUAUGUUAUCCGUACGUGAAGAAACAACGCAUACCUCCAAUGUGCAGAGCCUGUGUUUAACUGCCAGGAAAAUAACAAAGGACAAAACCAAGGCUGGAUGGAAGAAAGAGCACGUGGACAGGAUUUCUGCUCAUAAAUCAUGUGACCAAUGCAAAACAGAGCAUGGAAGCCAUUGACCUCUGCACUGCCUUACAAAAGCAGUUGUGUGGACAUGAAGGUCAGCAGCCCUUGAUGGAAAGUUAAGGGAACCCAUCACCGGAGUGACAGCUUCUGGAUUUACUGCACCACAGCCACUGUGAACAGCUUACAGAACUUUAUGGAUCAAUAGCAGGUACUCCCUGAGUGAAAGCUCACCUCUAACACUACCUCAGACAGUUACCAGCUGUAUGUGAGGGGUCGUCACUGGAGGGCUGAGACUUCUGAUCAUCAUUAGCCCACCUAGAAAUGAUACAUCCCAAGUACUGCAGGCAAUGCCAUCACAACCUCCUGCCUGUUGUACUCAACUGCUGUUUAUAUGUAUCUUUAAGCUGGAGAGGGUUCUGUAUACCUUCAACCCCCAGUUAACCCAAGAUAACCUAAGUCCAGCUCUAAACUGGUUGGGACUGUGUUAAUGUCAACAUUCCUUCACUUGAAAAUCAUCCCGUGUUGACCAUGAAAUCUUACCCAACGUUAGUGGGUAUGGGGCAGGUUUUUAGCUGUCUCUAAAUUGUUGUAUCUCUACAGGUGCAUGUAUAAAUGGAAAUAAGGUGGUUUAUUCUUUUGGGGUGACUGGCCCAGCAUCCUUGGUUUUAAAAGUAAAACAAAUGAGGUAAGGGAAUUGGAUCCCUCACAUAACAUUAGCAAUGUCAGUCAAGUUACAUCAGGGAUAACUUCAGCCCUAAAGGUGCAGGGUCACAAUAAGGCAAUCUCCACCACGAGAUCCCCCUGAGAAACUCAAGCAUCUCAUCCGUGGUUAGGAAAUGUACUUUAUUUCUACAGAACAGGCCAUGAAGCCACUCGUGAGCAGAGCAACUCUAGAGAUUCGGGAGAUAUUACAGGAAUAGAGAGAAAAGCCUUUUGCCUCACUACAUGCUCUUUCCCUGGUGUGCAGCCCUAAUUUCAGACCUACUCUAUUUUUUUUUCUGUGUAUAUGGAAAAUCAUACACAGUGAAUGCUUCCCACAAGCUCUAAAUGCAG
This 1528-nucleotide long non-coding RNA is filed under the name Anas platyrhynchos platyrhynchos (common mallard). RNAcentral's name for it is "lncRNA (ENSAPLG00000022097.1)". The record is from RNAcentral. Lineage: Eukaryota; Metazoa; Chordata; Aves; Anseriformes; Anatidae.